UAAUAUAUUUAAGGCAGAUCCUCAUAUAGCUAUGACAAACUCACACUUGACUGCUUAGAGUCACCCGUUAUCGCAGGCUCGACCAAAUCAUUCUCCCUGAGUUAGAGAGUACUCGUCUUUGAGUUUUGUU
Non-coding RNA from Populus trichocarpa (black cottonwood), 130 nucleotides. The record is from Rfam. NCBI's taxonomy places the organism in Eukaryota, Viridiplantae, Streptophyta, Magnoliopsida, Malpighiales, Salicaceae.